This 468-nucleotide ribosomal RNA is filed under the name uncultured bacterium. RNAcentral's name for it is "partial 16S ribosomal RNA". It matches the Rfam family "Bacterial small subunit ribosomal RNA", at positions 28 to 507 of the family's 1533-position model. The record is from RNAcentral.
GACGAACGCUGGCGGCGUGCUUAACACAUGCAAGUCGAACGGAAAGGCCCUGCUUUUGUGGGGUGCUCGAGUGGCGAACGGGUGAGUAACACGUGAGUAACCUGCCCUUGACUUUGGGAUAACUUCAGGAAGCUGGGGCUAAUACCGGAUAGGAGCUCCUGCUGCAUGGUGGGGGUUGGAAAGUUUCGGCGGUUGGGGAUGGACUCGCGGCUUAUCAGCUUGUUGGUGGGGUAGUGGCUUACCAAGGCUUUGCCGGGUAGCCGGCCUGAGAGGGUGACCGGCCCCAUUGGGCCUGAGAUACGGCCCAGCCUCCUACGGGAGGCAGCAGUGGGGAAUAUUGCACAAUGGGCGGAAGCCUGAUGCAGCACCGCCGCGUGCGGGAUGACGGCCUUCGGGUUGUAAACCGCUUUCGCCUGUGACGAAGCGUGAGUGACGGUAAUGGGUAAAGAAGCACCGGCUAACUACGUG